RNAcentral lists this long non-coding RNA (1070 nucleotides) under Struthio camelus australis. RNAcentral's name for it is "lncRNA (ENSSCUG00000016700.1)". Lineage: Eukaryota; Metazoa; Chordata; Aves; Struthioniformes; Struthionidae. The record is from RNAcentral.
AAAAUAAUAAAUACCCAUAUAUGCUUUCAGAAAACCUCUAACCCAGACAUAUGCUUUUAGGUCAAAAGGAGCUUCUUUGCUUGUUUUCUGACUUCAGCAUUUUACAGGCUUUAAAAAAUGCUGUAAUGAAGCCUGAAAGGGGAAGAAGAAAAUGUGGUAGAGGGUUAGGAGGCUCGGGUUUAAUUCUCUGCUGCUGUUUUCUUUUGUCAUUUCAGUAAGGAGCAGCCUGGAGGGAAGGAAGGAGUUCCCCAGCCGCCUCUGGACUAAAGAGCCACCGGACAGAGAAAACUGCUGACUGACAGUGUCGCCAUUCACGUAAGCAUCUGGUUUAUCUCCAGGUUCUUAUUCUUUGUUAUAUUAACAUAUUCUAUGUUAACUUUGAUUUCUUGGCAAACUGGUGGAAGUGGAAACGGAAAAACAUGAAUUUGUAGGCAGUCUGCAAGCAGGACCUACAUAUCUGACUCUGGCUGUCUUGUGCUCUGUAAAGCUGCUGUGAGCAAAGUUGAAAAACCACCUGUGUAGAAACUGGUAGUGCAACGUGUGAUGUAACGUGUGAGCAUGAUUACAGGGUUGGGUCAGGGAAACCACCACGAGCGAGGGGGAAGCAGUAUGAAAGGAGGAAGCAGAAGCUGAAACAUACCUCUAAAAGAGCAGCGGAGAAAUGGUUGAAGAAACGACAGUCUAAAAUUAAAUCUGGAAGGAAACUUGUGAUCUCUGCAACACCACUGUGUCAGAAAUCUUCAGAAACUGGCAACAUGGUCCUUUGCUGGAUUAGUGAAGGAUUCUUUUGCAUCUACCUUUUGCAUAACUUAGCAAUGCUGUAAAUGCAGAAAACGCAUUGCCGAGAGAAGCGAUACUCCCAGUCACACUUCUCUAGAGAGCUGGGAACCUUUAAACAGCACUCUGGGCAGAGAGUAGUUAUUUCCCAUUCCCCCUCAUUAAGAGAAGCAUAGUUACAGCCUAGCAGUGCCACAACUUGUGCUGCACUGUAUAAGCACCAGGGUGUUUACACACCAUCAUCAGAAACAGCCGUACUCUGUGUGCUGGGAGCAGUCUGCCAGGAACCUCUC